Molecule: ribosomal RNA, 253 nt
Filed under: uncultured bacterium
Lineage: Bacteria
Description: partial 16S ribosomal RNA
Rfam family: Bacterial small subunit ribosomal RNA
Source: RNAcentral
GACGAACCGAGCGAACGUUAUUCGGAAUCACUGGGCUUAAAGGGCGCGUAGGCGGGCGGUCAAGUCAGAGGUGAAAGCCCCCAGCUCAACUGGGGAAGUGCCUUUGAUACUGGUCGUCUCGAGGGAGAUAGGGGCGUGCGGAACUUCCGGUGGAGCGGUGAAAUGCGUAGAUAUCGGAAGGAACGCCGGUGGCGAAAGCGGCGCGCUGGAUCUCUUCUGACGCUGAGGCGCGAAAGCCAGGGGAGCGAACGGG